Molecule: unclassified non-coding RNA, 200 nt
Filed under: Brevicellicium sp.
Lineage: Eukaryota; Fungi; Basidiomycota; Agaricomycetes; Trechisporales; Hydnodontaceae
Description: partial internal transcribed spacer 2
Source: RNAcentral
UUAAGUUCAGCGGGUAGUCCUACCUGAUUUGAGGUCAGAAGUUCAAAGGUUGACCGCCACUCCAAGGGCAAGUCGAGGAAGGGUCACAAAGCGCGAGCCGCAGUCAGUGUAGAAGCGAGGGUAAUACAACGCCCAAUUGACGCAUAAGCUCGAAGGCCCCAACCGAUGCAUUCAAGGGGAGCCGCCUUUCGGCAGCAAGA